UACGUAGGGGGCUAGCGUUGUCCGGAAUCAUUGGGCGUAAAGAGCGCGUAGGCGGCCAGAUAAGUCCGGUGUGAAAGUCACAGGCUCAACCUGUGAAUGCCGCUGGAAACUGUCUGGCUAGAGUCCGGGAGGGGCGAGUGGAAUUCCUGGUGUAGUGGUGAAAUGCGUAGAUAUCGGGAGGAACACCAGUGGCGAAGGCGACUUUCUGGCCUGUUCUUGACGCUGAGGCGCGAAAGCUAGGGGAGCAAACGGG
Molecule: ribosomal RNA, 253 nt
Filed under: uncultured bacterium
Lineage: Bacteria
Description: partial 16S ribosomal RNA
Rfam family: Bacterial small subunit ribosomal RNA
Source: RNAcentral